RNAcentral lists this ribosomal RNA (434 nucleotides) under uncultured bacterium. RNAcentral's name for it is "bacterial SSU rRNA". It matches the Rfam family "Bacterial small subunit ribosomal RNA", at positions 29 to 507 of the family's 1533-position model. The record is from RNAcentral.
AACGAACGCUGGCGGCAGGCCUAACACAUGCAAGUCGAGCGAACCCUUCGGGGUUAGCGGCGGACGGGUUAGUAACGCGUGGGAAUAUACCCUUUGGUACGGAAUAGCCUCGGGAAACUGAGAGUAAUACCGUAUGUGCCCUUCGGGGAAAGGAUUUAUCGCCAAAGGAUUAGCCCGCGUUGGAUUAGAUAGUUGGUGGGGUAAGUGGCCUACCAAGUCUACGAUCCAUAGCUGGUUUGAGAGGAUGAUCAGCAACACUGGGACUGAGACACGGCCCAGACUCCUACGGGAGGCAGCAGUGGGGAAUCUUAGACAAUGGGCGCAAGCCUGAUCUAGCCAUGCCGCGUGGACGAUGAAGGCCUUAGGGUUGUAAAGUCCUUUCAGAUGGGAAGAUAAUGACGGUACCAUCAGAAGAAGCCCCGGCUAACUCCGUG